UCCCUGCUGGCUCAGACAGCAAAGAGCCUGCCUGCAGUGCGGGAGACCCAGGUUCCAUCCCUGGGUCGGGAA
This 72-nucleotide transfer RNA is filed under the name Bos taurus (domestic cattle). It matches the Rfam family "tRNA". From Rfam's summary of the family: Transfer RNA (tRNA) molecules are approximately 80 nucleotides in length. Their secondary structure includes four short double-helical elements and three loops (D, anti-codon, and T loops). RNAcentral also lists the same sequence under 4 other names. The record is from Rfam by way of RNAcentral. Lineage: Eukaryota; Metazoa; Chordata; Mammalia; Artiodactyla; Bovidae.